GGAGAGGAUACAAAGGAGGAGGAGGAAGAAGUAAAGUGGAGCAGAAGCACAUGGUGCGGGUGCACACGUGGGAAGCUCAUUCCCCAAGCCGUCUCCCAGGCCAGCCUGGACUCCCCAGGGUGUCUGCUCCAAGUACGAAUGUGUAGACUGAGCUGGUCAGACCAGCGCCUGGAGUCGUCGGAGCCGCUGUCGGUACACCAUGUGGCGGUGGCCCUGCAGGAGGCUGCCCGCGGCCUGUGGCUGGUGCUGCUGGGCUGGCUGGACGUGUCCUUGGGGUCCUGGCUGACACUGGGCUCUUCUGUUUCAGAGUCACUGCUGUCUUCAUCUUGGGCUUGCUGCCCUGGUUCCCUACCGCCUUCAAACAUCUCUCAAAGGAGGGAUCCCCAGGGAAAAGUGUGAGCAAGUGGAACCGAAUGCUGCCGAGGGACAGCUUUGAUCUGCAGUGAGCCAGGCUGCCCUUCAGUCUCAUCUCCAGUACACAGUCCUUCUCCAUGGACUUUCCCCUUUUGCAAACUGGCCACAGUAUGCAUGCAUGCGGAAGAUGGCACUCGCUGUCUCAACGCUCUGAGUCCUACCCUCCUUCCACCCCACUAAUCUCAUCUGCUUUAGUCAUUCACUAAAGAAAGGUGACUCAUUUCAGGGGACUCCAUCAUCCAAUGCCUUGGAUAAAGCAGGUGACCUCCAACAGUUACUGAUUCAAAUUUUCUGAAUUUUACGUUCUUCCUACCAACACUUCGGAUAACCUCUUCUGAAGCUACAGCUGCGCCUGUGGGGAUUUACAUCAAUCACAGUGCAAGCAUUAAAGCGUGCUGUCUA
This 816-nucleotide long non-coding RNA is filed under the name Mus caroli (Ryukyu mouse). RNAcentral describes it as "lncRNA (MGP_CAROLIEiJ_G0003717.1)". Lineage: Eukaryota; Metazoa; Chordata; Mammalia; Rodentia; Muridae. The record is from RNAcentral.